This 506-nucleotide ribosomal RNA is filed under the name uncultured bacterium. RNAcentral describes it as "partial 16S ribosomal RNA". It matches the Rfam family "Bacterial small subunit ribosomal RNA", at positions 28 to 523 of the family's 1533-position model. The record is from RNAcentral.
GAUGAACGCUAGCUACAGGCUUAACACAUGCAAGUCGAGGGGUAACGAGAGGAAAGCUUGCUUUCCUUGUCGACGACCGGCGCACGGGUGAGUAACGCGUAUCCAACCUGCCCCCAACUAAGGAAUAACCUUGCGAAAGUAAGACUAAUACCUUAUAAUUUCCUCAGAUGUCAUCUGACGAGGAAUAAAGAUUUAUCGGUUGUGGAUGGGGAUGCGUCUGAUUAGCUUGCUGGCGGGGUAACGGCCCACCAAGGCAACGAUCAGUAGGGGUUCUGAGAGGAAGGUCCCCCACAUUGGAACUGAGACACGGUCCAAACUCCUACGGGAGGCAGCAGUGAGGAAUAUUGGUCAAUGGGCGGAAGCCUGAACCAGCCAAGUAGCGUGCAGGAUGACGGCCCUAUGGGUUGUAAACUGCUUUUAUACAGGAAUAAAGUUAGCCACGUGUGGUUAUUUGUAGGUACUGUAUGAAUAAGGACCGGCUAAUUCCGUGCCAGCAGCCGCCGCAG